Molecule: ribosomal RNA, 460 nt
Filed under: uncultured bacterium
Lineage: Bacteria
Description: partial 16S ribosomal RNA
Rfam family: Bacterial small subunit ribosomal RNA
Source: RNAcentral
CCUACGGGGUGCAGCAGUGAGGAAUAUUGGUCAAUGGCCGGAAGGCUGAACCAGCCAUGCCGCGUGAAGGUCAGUGCCCUAUGGGCGUUAAACUUCUUUUGUGCGGGAGCAAUAAUGGUCACGUGUGGCCAGACGAGAGUACCGUACGAAUAAGCAUCGGCUAACUCCGUGCCAGCAGCCGCGGUAAUACGGGGGAUGCAAGCGUUAUCCCGAUUUAUUGGGUUUAAAGGGUGCGUAGGCUGUGAGGUAAGUCGGCGGUGAAAUGCCCCCGCUCAACGGGGUGAAGUGCCAUUGAUACUGGCUUGCUAGAAUGCGGAUGACGUGGGAGGAAUGUGUGGUGUAGCGGUGACAUGCAUAGAUAUCACACAGAACACCGAUUGCGAAGGCAUCUCACGAAUCCGCGAUUGACGCUGAUGCACGAAAGCGUGGGUAUCAAACAGGAUUAGAUACCCCGGUAGUC